UGGGGAAUUUUGGACAAUGGGCGAAAGCCUGAUCCAGCAAUGCCGCGUGUGUGAAGAAGGCCUUCGGGUUGUAAAGCACUUUUGUCCGGAAAGAAAUGGCUCUGGUUAAUACCUGGGGUCGAUGACGGUACCGGAAGAAUAAGGACCGGCUAACUACGUGCCAGCAGACGCGGUAAUACGCAGGGUCCAAGCGUUAAUCGGAAUUACUGGGCGUAAUGCGUGCGCAGGCGGUUGUGCAAGACCGAUGUGAAAUCCCCGAGCUUAACUUGGGAAUUGCGUUGGUGACUGCACGGCUAGAGUGUGUCAGAGGGGGGUAGAAUUCCACGUGUAGCAGUGAAAUGCGUAGAGAUGUGGAGGAAUACCGAUGGCGAAGGCAGCCCCCUGGGAUAACACUGACGCUCAUGCACGAAAGCGUGGGGAGCAAACAGG
This 429-nucleotide ribosomal RNA is filed under the name Bacillota bacterium. Its description in RNAcentral is "Firmicutes bacterium partial 16S ribosomal RNA". It matches the Rfam family "Bacterial small subunit ribosomal RNA", at positions 355 to 776 of the family's 1533-position model. The record is from RNAcentral. Lineage: Bacteria; Bacillati; Bacillota.